RNAcentral lists this ribosomal RNA (577 nucleotides) under Pardosa crassipalpis. RNAcentral describes it as "eukaryotic LSU rRNA". The stretch from base 393 to 577 matches the Rfam family "Eukaryotic large subunit ribosomal RNA", at positions 665 to 838 of the family's 3401-position model. The record is from RNAcentral. Lineage: Eukaryota; Metazoa; Arthropoda; Arachnida; Araneae; Lycosidae.
GGGAUUCAGUCUGUAGUUGCCGUCGUUGUGCUGGUCGGGGUUUUUCCCGGAGCCGCCCGAUCGCGACGGACAGACGCAUUUGUCUCUCGCUCUGAGGACGCCGCAGCCCGUGGGGGAGUGAAAGCGUGACUGCCUGAAAGGCGAGGAAAGGCAGGUGGCCGGGGGCGAGCUUAGUGCUCUUCGCCGGUUGUUAGCCGUCUCGUCGGUGGCGAGUCUCCCCACGGACGUGACACGUCUCCUCUUCAUCUGGACUUGCAGUCGCGAGCGAAGGCAACCGCGCGGCCGCACUCCCCGGGAGUGGGCCAGCGGCCGUCGGUGACUGAGGACCAGUCGGAGGUCGGAGGUUAGCGGCGAGUUUUUCGGUCGCCCGCCCGACCCGUCUUGAAACACGGACCAAGGAGUCUAACAUGUGCGCGAGUCGACGGGUCUCGAAUAAGCCCGGAGGCGCAACGAAAGCGAAGUUCGGCCCCGCCGAACGUGUCGGGAUGGGCGCACCGACGACCUGUCUUGUGCGACUUGUCGCUAUGGCGGAGUCUGAGCGUACACGUUGGGACCCGAAAGAUGGUGAACUAUGCCC